AACACAUUGUGUCAUUUAUACACUUAUUAUUUUGUACACAUUAUUAAGGACAAGUGGUAGAAAGUAAAUUAUUAUUAAUAAUAAUAAUAAUAAUAAUAUAUUUUAUUUGUAAAAAGCACUUUACAUUGAGCAAACAACCUCAAAGUGCUACAGUGCAUUAAAAAAAAAAAAAAAAAAGAUAAUAAAAGAUAAUAAAAAUAAAAACUAGAACAACCAAAUAGCUAAAACUAAUAUGCAUAUAUCUAAAAAAAAAAGGCUUUUUUAAAAAGAAGGGUUUUUAAGCCUUUUUUAAAAGCAUCCACAGUCUGUGGUGCCCUCAGGUGGUCAGGUCUUUUAGUAGUAAGUAAACAAACAAAGACUCCUAAUUAGUCUGCUGACGUGUGCAGUAACAUAUUGUGUCAUUUAUACACCUAUUAUUUUGUACACAUUAUUAAGGACAAGUGGUAGAAAGUAAAUUAUUAUUAAUAAUAAUAAUAAUAUAUUUUAUUUGUAAAAAGCACUUUACAUUGAGCAAACAACCUCAAAGUGCUACAGUGCAUUAAAAAAAAAAAAAAGAUAAUAAAAGAUAAUAAAAAUAAAAACUAGAACAGCCAAAUAGCUAAAACUAAUAUGCAUAUAUCUAAAAAAAGGCUUUUUUUAAAAGAAGGGUUUUUAAGCCUUUUUUAAAAGCAUCCACAGUCUGUGGUGCCCUCAGGUGGUCAGGUCUUUUAGUAGUAAGUAAACAAACAAAGACUCCUAAUUAGUCUGCUGACGUAUGCAGUAACAUAUUGUGUCAUUUAUACACCUAUUUUUUUGUACACAUUAUUAAGGACAAGUGGUAGAAAGUAAAUUAUUAUUAAUAAUAAUAAUAAUAAUGUAUUUUAUUUGUAAAACGCACUUUACAUUGAGCAAACAACCUCAAAGUGCUACAGUGCAUUAAAAAAAAUAAAAAUAAAAAGAUAAUAAAAGAUAAUAAAAAUAAAAACUGGAACAGCCAAAUAGCUAAAACUAAUAUGCAUAUAUCUAAAAAAAAGUUUUUUUUUUAAAGAAGGGUUUUUAAGCCUUUUUUAAAAGCAUCCACAGUCUGUGGUGCCCUCAGGUGGUCAGGUCUUUUAGUAGUAAGUAAACAAACAAAGACUCCUAAUUAGUCGUAUGCAGUAACAUAUUGUGUCAUUUAUACACCUAUUAUUUUGUACACAUUAUUAAGGACAAGUGGUAGAAAGUGAAUUUAUAUUAAUAAUAAUAAUAAUAAUAUAUUUUAUUUGUAAAAAGCACUUUACAUUGAGUAAACAACCUCAAAGUGCUACAGUGCAUUAAAAAAAUAAAAUAAAAAGAUAAUAAAAGAUAAUAAAAAUAAAAACUAGAACAGCCAAAUAGCUAAAACUAAUAUGCAUAUAUCUAAAAAAAAGGCUUUUUUUAAAAAGAAGGGUUUUUAAGCCUUUUUUAAAAGCAUUCACAGUCUGUGGUGCCCUCAGGUGGUCAGGUCUUUUAGUAGUAAGUAAACAAACAAAGACUCCCAAUUUGUGUGCUGACGUAUGCAGUAACAUAUUGUGUCAUUUAUACACCUAUUAUUUUGUACACAUUAUUAAGGACAAGUGGUAGAAAGUAAAUUAUUAUUAAUAAUAAUAAUAAUAAUAAUAUAUUUUAUUUGUAAAAAGCACUUUACAUUGAGCAAACAACCUCAAAGUGCUACAGUGCAUUAAAAAAAUAAAAAGAUAAUAAAAGAUAAUAAAAAUAAAAACUAGAACAGCCAAAUAGCUAAAACUAAUAUGCAUAUAUCUAAAAAAAAAAGGCUUUUUUAAAAAGAAGGGUUUUUAAGCCUUUUUUAAAAGCAUCCACAGUCUGUGGUGCCCUCAGGUGGUCAGGUCUUUUAGUAGUAAGUAAACAAACAAAGACUCCUAAUUAGUCUGCUGACGUAUGCAGUAACAUAUUGUGUCAUUUAUACACCUAUUAUUUUGUACACAUUAUUAAGGACAAGUGGUAGAAAGUAAAUUAUUAUUAAUAAUAAUAAUAAUAUAUUUUAUUUGUAAAAAGCACUUUACAUUGAGCAAACAACCUCAAAGUGCUACAGUGCAUUAAAAAAAAUAAAAAUAAAAAGAUAAUAAAA
Nerophis lumbriciformis (worm pipefish) is the source of this 2086-nucleotide non-coding RNA. Lineage: Eukaryota; Metazoa; Chordata; Actinopteri; Syngnathiformes; Syngnathidae. The record is from RefSeq and is a predicted model, not a curated record.